This 345-nucleotide unclassified non-coding RNA is filed under the name soil metagenome. RNAcentral's name for it is "partial contains 5.8S ribosomal RNA, internal transcribed spacer 2, and large subunit ribosomal RNA". The stretch from base 1 to 119 matches the Rfam family "5.8S ribosomal RNA", at positions 35 to 154 of the family's 154-position model. The record is from RNAcentral.
GAUGAAGAACGCAGCGAAAUGCGAUACGUAAUGUGAAUUGCAAAUUCAGUGAAUCAUCGAGUCUUUGAACGCACAUUGCGCCCCCUGGUAUUCCGGGGGGCAUGCCUGUCCGAGCGUCAUUGCUGCCCUCAAGCACGGCUUGUGUGUUGGGCCCCGUCCUCCGAUCCCGGGGGACGGGCCCGAAAGGCAGCGGCGGCACCGUGUCCGGUCCUCGAGCGUAUGGGGCUUUGUCACCCGCUCUGUAGGCCCGGCCGGCGCUUGCCGAUCAACCCAAAUUUUUAUCCAGGUUGACCUCGGAUCAGGUAGGGAUACCCGCUGAACUUAAGCAUAUCAAUAAGCGGAGGA